GCAGUGGUGGUUCAGUGGUAGAAUUCUCACCUUCAGUGCAGGAGGCCUGGGUUCGAUUCCUAGCCAAUGCA
Molecule: transfer RNA, 71 nt
Filed under: Loxodonta africana (African savanna elephant)
Lineage: Eukaryota; Metazoa; Chordata; Mammalia; Proboscidea; Elephantidae
Rfam family: tRNA
About the family: Transfer RNA (tRNA) molecules are approximately 80 nucleotides in length. Their secondary structure includes four short double-helical elements and three loops (D, anti-codon, and T loops).
Source: Rfam by way of RNAcentral